Molecule: transfer RNA, 72 nt
Filed under: Dipodomys ordii (Ord's kangaroo rat)
Lineage: Eukaryota; Metazoa; Chordata; Mammalia; Rodentia; Heteromyidae
Rfam family: tRNA
About the family: Transfer RNA (tRNA) molecules are approximately 80 nucleotides in length.
Source: Rfam by way of RNAcentral
GAGGGUAUAGCUCAAGUGGUAGAGUGCCUGCCUGCUAAGCAAAAGCCCUUGUUCAAACCCCCAGUACUCUCU